Long non-coding RNA from Drosophila sulfurigaster albostrigata, 337 nucleotides. RefSeq lists it as uncharacterized. The record is from RefSeq and is a predicted model, not a curated record. The transcript is spliced from 3 exons. NCBI's taxonomy places the organism in Eukaryota, Metazoa, Arthropoda, Insecta, Diptera, Drosophilidae.
AAUAAUUUCAUACUUUACUAUCCGAUCAUAUUCUAUAAUAACCUAAAAAUGCGUGCAAAUUUUAAUUUAAUGGCUAUUAACCUAUAAAAGACGACAUAACUAAGGCGAUACCAACAGAUUACUUUAUAUUUCUUUAAAAUCCACUUUGUGAAUAUGAAAUUAUUUAUUCUGCUCGCUUUGUGCCUAACUUAUCUCGCUGUUCCUUUGUUUCCAUUUAGAGGAAAUAAUAUAGACGGUAUGCGGCCAUAUCCACCUCCAGGACGUGAAUUAGAGGAAGGCCAAUGAUAAAAAAUGAAACAAGUUUCCAAGUUUUAAAAUAUUUGCAAUUAUGAAUUCA